AGGAUCACGCAAACAAAGGAGGGGAGAGAGAAAGAGAAAAAUAACAGGGGGAGGGGAGAACAGGAAAAAUACAAGACAAAAACACAACACUGUAGGUCUUUUUUUUCUUGCUGUUUACUUAGGUUGCAGGUUCUCCGCUCGUAUUGCCCCAGUGAUAACCUGCAUCUUGCGUAUAAGGUUUGCAUCUAGUCUUCAAAUGUCAAUGAGCAGUAAAACAAACCCAGGAAGAACAUGUAAAGUGCCCAGUAAUUUUCGAGGUUUGCAUUAAUUUAAUACAGUACAAAUAUUUUCACAAUCACAAUAUCAGUGGGCAGCUAUGCAUUUGGUACCUAAGCCUUUACUGGGGAUUUACCAGACUUGAGCCACUUAAUACUUGCACAAUUAUAUAUCAAUAAUAUAUAUUACUGUAUACAAUAAUGCAAUUCAGAGCAAAACACCAAUGUGGCAUUGGCAACACGUGUAUCAUCUUGAGCUGUUCAUCAACAUAAAAACAUGAAAAGAAACCAUUCAAAAACCAACCAAAAAAGGAUAGAAUGUUAUUAAUGUGCAGAUCGCUACAGAUGUGUUUUCGCCUUGGAGUUGGCUAUGUAACAAGUUUUGCUCUGACCAAACAAUCAGAGGAUUGUAAAAUGCUCGCUGGCCCUUGAAGGAUUAGAGAAGCUGAUGACAGCAUGACAUACUAUAGCUGCUUGUUUUACAAGUAUGUGAAGUAAACAUGAAGCCUGUCUGACUCAAUUUGUCCAGUGAAAUAAUCCUGGAGUUGCAUAACCUUGACCCUCCUGCCCAACACGACGUCAAGCGGUGGAAAAUCCCAGAGAUCAAGAAAGGGAUCAGACAUAAAGGAGGGCAGUAAGAACAAUGCAAAGAUGGGAUAAAAUAGAACAGGUUGUGGGUGGGACGCCGCUGGGCUGGCUGGCGGAAGAGGACAUCGGGACCUUGUUUCGGAGAAUACAGGGCUCGCGCUGAGAACGCUGAGGCGGCAGACGCAGGCCUUGCCAGUAAUCGAGUGAGCUUUACACUGUGAAAAGUCAUUUCAGCACAUGUCCAGUUGGUUUGUGCUGUCGGGAAGAGGAAGGAAGCGUGUGAAGAGAAAAGCUGUGAUAUGAGAUAAUACAAAAUGGCAGACGAAACAAUGGAAGCGUUCAAAUCUCUAUUCUGCCGUAUCCUCAAUUUUAGAAGGAAGGUCUUGCCCCCAAAAAGUCAUCAAGGUCUUGGAACUGGGACAUCGCAUCCCUGUUAGCGUGAGGUGAACCAUUUAAUAAAGACGGGAGGGGGGUGGGGGGUGGAAAAGUUUUAACAGAGCAAACCAUAACAUUCCCCCUGGGUCAUUUGAGACAAAUUGAAGAAGCAACCUACAGAGACUUUUCGAAGGACUUGGGAAUGAAAAAAAAAAAAGAAUUAGAGCCCGAGCCAAACCUUAAGAGGAUACGUUUGCUCUUAAUAAGAACAAGUUUAAAUAUAGCAAGAUGGGGGAGGGAGUGCAGAGUUGGCAAUCACUUCUCACCACAAACAACCGCCUGUAUUUCCCAACAACUGCUGACAAAAACAUCUUAAAAUGCCCUUUGUGAGCAAAUAUGCACCAGUGGAUCACAACUACAGACUUGUUGCUCAUGAGACAAAGGGUUUCCCCGGGUAUAAAUAAAGUCACGUUGCAUCGACUAUAACAGUCAAGGCUAUAUUGAUCCCAUAUCUGAAGGAUUAAGGUUAGCAGCCGCCAUGCCCUUCAUGGCCUCCACGCCUCAACACUCCUCCGUUCACACCUCUGAGUCACCUAUACGACACGUGCCGUAUGUAUUGGUGUGAAAGCUGCAGUGAGGACACUGCAAGGGUGACCUGAGAGAUGUUCAAGGUCCUCCCAUAAUCCACUGCCACCCUAGAAUAUGAAGACGCACGUUCAUUUGCAAUCUGAAUUCAUGCUGAUGCAGAGCGUUUCUGCUCAAUGAUUGUUUUUGUUUUCCAGAUUUUUUUUUUCUUCUCGCACCGUGCGGGAUUUAUUGUGAACAAGAGUCCCUCAUCCUCAUCCAGAGAGGCACACAUAUUGGAAAACACAGGCCAUGGCCACAGAUUCCAAAUCUAAUAGAGCACAGAUUUGCUCCAUUGUUCUCAGUUCAUAGAGCAGUCUGAUACUUGCGAUGAUACAAUAUCGCAGUGAUCCGAUUAGAACAAUUUGGCUCCAGGCAUUGCCGCUCCCUUACAGGAGGACACCACCAUAAGAACAACAAGGGAAGGUCGAAAAACAAAUCCGUCUCACUCAAACUGUCGUACAAGCUGAUAAUGUUCCACUCCAGUCCUAUAGAUGGCAGUCAUAAGUUGGGUGCCACCUGCCACACACAGCAAGCGUUUUACUUCACAUGUGGGAACCGAGAGGUCAAAAUGUGUGCACA
Long non-coding RNA from Hippocampus zosterae (dwarf seahorse), 2384 nucleotides. RefSeq lists it as uncharacterized. The transcript has 3 exons. NCBI's taxonomy places the organism in Eukaryota, Metazoa, Chordata, Actinopteri, Syngnathiformes, Syngnathidae. The record is from RefSeq and is a predicted model, not a curated record.